AACGAACGCUGGCGGCAGGCCUAACACAUGCAAGUCGAACGAGACCUUCGGGUCUAGUUGCGCACGGGUGCGUAAAGCGUGGGAACCUGCCCUUAGGUUCGGAAUAACUCCCCGAAAGGGGUGCUAAUACCGGGUAAUGUCUUCGGACCAAAGAUUUAUCCCCUUUGGAGGGGCCCGCGUUGGCUUAGCUAGUUGGGAUGGUAAAAGCCUACCAAGGCGACGAUCCAUAGCUGGUCAGAGAGGCUGAUCAGCCACACUGGGACUGAGACACGGCCCAGACUCCUGCGGGAGGCAGCAGUGGGGAAUAUUGGACAAUGGGCUAAAGCCUGAUCCAGCAAUGCCUCGUGAGUGAUGAAGGCCUUAGGGUUGUAAAGCUCUUUUACCCGGGACUAUAAUGACAGUACCGGGAGAAUAAGCUCCGGCUAACUCCGUG
RNAcentral lists this ribosomal RNA (433 nucleotides) under uncultured bacterium. RNAcentral's name for it is "partial 16S ribosomal RNA". It matches the Rfam family "Bacterial small subunit ribosomal RNA", at positions 29 to 507 of the family's 1533-position model. The record is from RNAcentral.